This 1044-nucleotide ribosomal RNA is filed under the name uncultured crenarchaeote. Its description in RNAcentral is "bacterial SSU rRNA". It matches the Rfam family "Archaeal small subunit ribosomal RNA", at positions 316 to 1362 of the family's 1478-position model. The record is from RNAcentral. Lineage: Archaea; Thermoproteati; Thermoproteota.
CGCGGGAUUACGGGGCGCAGCAGGCGCGAAACCUCCUCAAUGCACUAACGUGCGAAGGGGUUACCUCGAGUGCUACCUGAAGAAGGUGGCUUUUCCUUGGUCUAAAAAGCCUCGGGAAUAAGAGGGGGGCAAGACUGGUGUCAGCCGCCGCGGUAACACCAGCCCCUCGAGUGGUGGGGAUGAUUAUUUGGCCUAAAGCGUCCGUAGCCGGCCGGGUAAGUUUCCCGUUAAAUCCAGCGUCUCAAGCGUUGGACUGCGGGAAAUACUGCCUGGCUAGAGAGUGGGAGAGGUCAGCGGUAUUCUGGGGGUAGGGGCGAAAUCCUUUGAUCCCCGGAGGACCACCAGUGGCGAAGGCUGCUGACUAGAACACGUCUGACGGUCAGGGACGAAAGCUGGGGUAGCGAACCGGAUUAGAUACCCGGGUAGUCCCAGCCGUAAACGAUGCAUGCUAGGUGUUGGGUUGGCCACGAGCCACCCCAGUGCCGCAGGGAAGCCGUUAAGCAUGCCGCCUGGGAAGUACGAUCGCAAGAUUGAAACUUAAAGGAAUUGGCGGGGGAGCACCACCAGGCGUGAAGCCUGCGGUUUAAUUGGAGUCAACGCCGGGAACCUUACCGGAAGCGACAGCAGAGUGAAGGCCAGAUUGAAGAUCUUGCCAGACGAGCUGAGAGGAGGUGCAUGGCCGUCGCCAGUUCGUGCCGUGAGGUGUUCUCUUAAGUGAGAUAACGAACGAGACCCGCGCCACAUGUUGCCAUCAGAAUCUAAAGGAUUGCUGGGCACUCUUGUGGGACCGCAGCCGAUAAGGCUGAGGAAGGGGCGGGCAACGGCAGGUCAGUAUGCCCCGAAUCUUCCGGGCCACACGCGGGCUGCAAUGGUAUGGACAGAGGGCUGCCACCCCGAAAGGGGGAGCCAAUCCCUAAACCAUACCUCAGUUGGGAUUGAGGGCUGCAACCCGCCCUCAUGAACAUGGAAUGCCUAGUAACUGCCAGUCAUCAUCUGGCGGUGAAUACGUCUCUGCUCCUUGCACGAAUUCGCCGAAUCACUAGU